CAUCGACGGGGAGGUUUGGCACCUCGAUGUCGGCUCGGCGCAACCUGGGGCUGCAGUCGGUCCCAAGGGUUGGGCUGUUCGCCCAUUAAAGCGGCUCGCGAGCUGGGUUCAAAACGUCGUGAGACAGUUUGGUUCCUAUCUGAUGUGGGCGUUGGAAUAUUGAUGAGAGCUACUCUUAGUACGAGAGGACCGGAGUGGACGCACCGAUGGUGUGCCAGUUGUUUCGCCAGAAGCAUAGCUGGGUAGCCAAGUGCGGCAGGGAUAACCGCUGAAAGCAUCUAAGCGGGAAGCCCCCUCAAAGAUUAGUAUUCCCUUUAAAAUUCCUUAUAGACUAUGAGGUUGAUAGGCUGGAGGUGUAAGUGCAGCAAUGCAUUCAGCUGACCAGUACUAAUAAAUUUAUUGGUUUAAUAGUAAUAUUCUAUAUAGUU
Molecule: ribosomal RNA, 428 nt
Filed under: Lactobacillus crispatus
Lineage: Bacteria; Bacillati; Bacillota; Bacilli; Lactobacillales; Lactobacillaceae
Description: bacterial LSU rRNA
Rfam family: Bacterial large subunit ribosomal RNA
Source: RNAcentral